UAAAAGGAGUCCCAUUCGGACUGCAGGCUGNAACCCGCCUGCACGAAGUUGGAAUUGCUAGUAAUCGCGGAUCAGCAUGCCGCGGUGAAUACGUUCCCGGGCUUUGUACACACCGCCCGUCACACCAUGAGAGUUGGAGAUACCCGAAGCCUAUGAGCUAACUUUUAGAGGCAGUAGUCGAAGGUAGAAUCAAUGAUUGGGGUGAAGUCGUAACAAGGUAGC
Molecule: ribosomal RNA, 222 nt
Filed under: uncultured bacterium
Lineage: Bacteria
Description: partial 16S ribosomal RNA
Rfam family: Bacterial small subunit ribosomal RNA
Source: RNAcentral